CAUUUCUUCAUAUAUGACGAGCCGACCGAAGUAUUGUCUACACGUUCGUUUGUCUUAGGAAGCUUAAGGUCAAAGUCUGGGGGGAUCCUGUACCAAACUCGCAUCUAACUCAAGUCAUCCAGAUUCAGUAUAGAGCUAUAGCCACUGGGACCAAGCUCGCUUUGCUUGGCCAUUCCCAAACCAAAGAACUAGAAUGCUAACUAAGGAAAGAAAGGAGGAAUGGAAAGGUAGAUGGAUGAGAAAGAAAACUCACCUGAGAAUGAAAAAGGAGGC
RNAcentral lists this long non-coding RNA (273 nucleotides) under Elaeis guineensis (African oil palm). Its description in RNAcentral is "long non-coding RNA (EGUI_LNC009257)". Lineage: Eukaryota; Viridiplantae; Streptophyta; Magnoliopsida; Arecales; Arecaceae. The record is from RNAcentral.